GAGACCCCUUUUUCUAAGCUUCAGACAGGAGAGUUCAAAGAAACAGGGGUGAACAUUUGCACACAGCGCAUUCAUCUUCACAUUGACCCCCUGUGGGAUGCUGAUGAGCUGUGAAAAGCGCCUCCAUCCAGGCUUCACUCACUCCUUCGAGGAAGACCAUGGGCAGGAUGAGAAAGCCAGCCUCAGUGGGUUGACAGGGCCCCGUUUAGCCAGUCACACUGAACAGACACCUCUCUUCUUCAUGAAAUGCUGACUGAUAAUCAUUUGAGAGCACACAUUCAUGGGUCUUUCACUUCUAAGUUUCCUGGCUUGUUUACCUAUGUAGGAGGCACCAGGGUGAUCCACACUCACCUGCAAAGUGAGGAUGAGAAAAGACCUAGGGUAAGAUGAGAUAACACCUUUUAGGCCUAAAAGUGAAAUUUGUCCUGGCAAAAAUCAAUCAGUAACAGUCCAC
RNAcentral lists this long non-coding RNA (454 nucleotides) under Bos taurus (domestic cattle). RNAcentral describes it as "long non-coding RNA NONBTAT006220". Lineage: Eukaryota; Metazoa; Chordata; Mammalia; Artiodactyla; Bovidae. The record is from RNAcentral.